GCUGGGGUAGCUCAUUCUGUGGAGCAUAAGACUCUUAAUCUCAGGGUCCUGGGUACGAGCCCCACGUUGGGCA
Molecule: non-coding RNA, 73 nt
Organism: Podarcis lilfordi (Lilford's wall lizard)
Lineage: Eukaryota; Metazoa; Chordata; Lepidosauria; Squamata; Lacertidae
Source: the annotation of a GenBank genome assembly